RNAcentral lists this ribosomal RNA (301 nucleotides) under uncultured bacterium. Its description in RNAcentral is "partial 16S ribosomal RNA". It matches the Rfam family "Bacterial small subunit ribosomal RNA", at positions 509 to 807 of the family's 1533-position model. The record is from RNAcentral.
CAGUCGCCGCGGGAAUACGUAGGGUGCAAGCGUUAAUCGGAAUUACUGGGCGUAAAGCGUGCGCAGGCGGUUAUAUAAGUCAGAUGUGAAAUCCCCGGGCUCAACCUGGGAACUGCAUUCGAGACUGUAUGGCUAGAGUGUGUCAGAGGGGGGUAGAAUUCCACGUGUAGCAGUGAAAUGCGUAGAUAUGUGGAGGAAUACCGAUGGCGAAGGCAGCCCCCUGGGAUAACACUGACGCUCAUGCACGAAAGCGUGGGGAGCAAACAGGAUUAGAUACCCGAGUAGUCCCUGUCUCUUAUAC